AUAAGUAAUGUCUUAAAAGUACUUAAUUAAAAUAAAAAAUCUACAUCUAAAGUCCUACAAUAAUAAGUAGUGUAAAUAGGUAUUAUCAUUAUAUCAGUCCGUUAGCGGUAGGUAGUCGUAUAAAGAGUGUCCGUGAAAGUAUAGAACCGAAAAGGGCUGACUCAGAACUGAGAGGAAAUAGUGUAUGAUUUUUCAUAACCGAUUGACUAGUGAAAUAUAACCAUAAUAAAACGCAAAAUGGUAUGGCGCGGAGCUAGUGCAGCGCGUGUACCACUUGGUGACGACCCUCCCACGCCCAUGGAAGUAAUACUACGUAAGUACUUAUAGAUACCUACUCGUCGCUACCUACUUUCAGACCACGAAUGAUGAAAAACUUAUUUGCCAGACUGCUUAGCUUAGACCAUGGUUGUGAAUGGUAAUGGUACCCACCGGCACCCAUCUAAAAGCAUAGAAUAACAAGUACAGAAGUACCAAGAAGUACACAUGUAGUACACGUUAUUCUAUGCUAAAAGUAAGUACUCUGUGGUACCCACUUUGAUUAAAGUUUAACGGUAACCACAAUAACAACCUAACCUAACCUACUAACGAAAACGGUAAAAGAGCAUUUGAUUUACCUACUUAUCCAUUUAACUUUAAGAAGUAUUCUGUAAUAAAUGGGAAAUAUUGUGUGGUCUUUAAUAUGGAUUUUGAUUUUAAUUUUCAUUGGUUGGUGGAUAGCUCUCCUCUUGUCGGUAUUCUAUGUUAUAUUUCUACCUUUUGGAGUUUGCAUUCCAGCAUGCGCGCCGAUCACUGAUUUAUUACUUGCUAUAGUUCAAUUUCCUGGAUUCUGUGCGGAAAAAAUGAAAGCUGGCGAAGGAUUCUAAAAUGUACACUGAAGAUGGCACGAUGUGCAUAAUUAUAAUGUAUAAGUACCUUGUGAAACAUACCCUUAUUGUCCUUAUAAAUAAUUAAAAUUAUAUAUAAGAAUGG
Plutella xylostella (diamondback moth) is the source of this 969-nucleotide long non-coding RNA. RefSeq lists it as uncharacterized. The record is from RefSeq and is a predicted model, not a curated record. NCBI's taxonomy places the organism in Eukaryota, Metazoa, Arthropoda, Insecta, Lepidoptera, Plutellidae.